Molecule: long non-coding RNA, 469 nt
Organism: Thalassophryne amazonica
Lineage: Eukaryota; Metazoa; Chordata; Actinopteri; Batrachoidiformes; Batrachoididae
Exons: 2
Source: RefSeq, a predicted model, not a curated record
GCAGAUGGAGCAGGACAUGAAGAAUAUCACCAGAUUUCAGGAUUUGGUGGACAAACUGUAGUUCAAAGUGAAGUCAUACAAGAAACAGCCUGAUGAGGCUGAGGAGCAGACCAACACUCACCUGUCCAGACACAGGAAGGAUCAGCACGAGCCAGAAGACACUGAGGACAGAGCCGACAUCGCUGAGUCCCAGGUCAACAAACUGAGGGCUGAGAGUUGUGAUAUUGUGCAGGUUAGUUCAUUUCACUUGUUUUUUAUUCAGCAGUUAUUACAUUGUAAUAACAUUUAUAAGAAUAGUACAACCAAACAUGUACACAUAACUCACUUCUCAUUGUUUUUGUUUUGUUUUUUGUUUGUAUCAAUUUAAAGGGAAAGGAAGCUGAAGAAUGAGCACUGUUACAGAUAAGACACACUGUCAAGAAGUCACACAAUAUGAACUUUUUGUCUGAUAUGUUAACUGUUCACACAC